GGUUCCUCCUCAGCUGGGCUCCUCCACGCUUCAUUGUACAGGCUCCGAUUAAGUAACUGUCCUGCUGCUUGCUUUACAAAUGGAUCUCACCAUCUGCGGACCAGCCCUGGAUCAUGGUUAGAGACGGGAAACCGUAGAUUCCGGCUUCAUGAAGUCUGCAGGUUGCGGAUGUGGAGGGAGAGGAUACAGAUGCCCGAAGAUCUUCUAGAAAUGCAGCCAUGGUCUUGAUUUAGGACCUUGGCUUCUAAACAAGCAGCACUACAUUUAUAUACCUGUCGAGAGAAAGAAAUAAAGGCAGAAUUGCAGUUACCUCAACGCGGGGUGGCAUCUCCUCUGUUUUGCCCGACCAGCCCCUAGCCCGUCCUCGUAAGCUUUCCCUUACCUGUGCUCGUCCCCCCUGCUGCUGACAGACGAAUCUUCUGAACAUUCAGGGUCUCCUCAGCAAGAUGAGCAAGCCCGCGUGGGGA
RNAcentral lists this long non-coding RNA (467 nucleotides) under Canis lupus familiaris (dog). Its description in RNAcentral is "lncRNA (ENSCAFG00040006242.1)". The record is from RNAcentral. Lineage: Eukaryota; Metazoa; Chordata; Mammalia; Carnivora; Canidae.